GCUUGUCUCAAAGAUUAAGCCAUGCAUGUCUAAGUAUAAACUGCUUAUACUGUGAAACUGCGAAUGGCUCAUUAAAUCAGUUAUAGUUUAUUUGAUGGUACCUACUACUCGGAUAACCGUAGUAAUUCUAGAGCUAAUACGUGCGCACAACCCGACUUCUGGAAGGGUCGUAUUUAUUAGAUAAAAGGCCAGCCGGGCUUUGCCCGACCUGCGGUGAAUCAUGAUAACUUCACGAAUCGUAUGGCCUUGUGCCGACGAUGUUUCAUUCAAAUUUCUGCCCUAUCAACUUUCGAUGGUAAGGUAUUGGCCUACCAUGGUUACCACGGGUAACGGGGAAUUAGGGUUCGGUUCCGGAGAGGGGGCCUGAGAAAUGGCCACCACAUCCAAGGAAGGCAGCAGG
Molecule: ribosomal RNA, 400 nt
Filed under: Chlamydomonas reinhardtii
Lineage: Eukaryota; Viridiplantae; Chlorophyta; Chlorophyceae; Chlamydomonadales; Chlamydomonadaceae
Description: partial small subunit ribosomal RNA
Rfam family: Eukaryotic small subunit ribosomal RNA
Source: RNAcentral